RNAcentral lists this long non-coding RNA (887 nucleotides) under Rattus norvegicus (Norway rat). RNAcentral describes it as "long non-coding RNA NONRATT007344". The record is from RNAcentral. Lineage: Eukaryota; Metazoa; Chordata; Mammalia; Rodentia; Muridae.
UUUGGCUUUAGCGCGUUUAUGAUUAAAAUUGUAAGGAUUCUAUUUUAGGUUUUAAGAUUGAAUAAUAUCACAUAAAAUGAUUAAGUUAAAAGUCAAAAGACAGACAGUGGUUGCAAAAUCAUAGGACAUGUUAGAACCAGCUCGUGGCUCUGGUCCUCUAGAUUUACUUUGCAUUAUCACAGAUGCGGUGAAUUAGCAAAUUUCCUUAUCUAUUAUGGGAUACAAAAUGAUAUGACCAUGUUGGGCUCACAGUAGCAUCUUUGAUGUAAUAUUCCUCAGAAUUCAAACUCAAAAAAUGGUUCCGCAAAUUGGAAUUUAAACGACUUUCAAAAGGGACGUGCACUGCAUAUCUAGAUAUCAAUGAAUUCCUGUUUCGAUUUUAUCUCAUGUAUUCUAUGUAAUAUUAGGAAACUGAAAGAAGGCAUUAAGUUUGAAUGGGUUAUACUUUUUCCAUACAAUAACAAUUAUAGAGACUGAUGGGAAGAUAUUUUAUGAAAUCAUAAUUAAUACACUUCAAUGUAAGACCAUCAUGAUCAAAGUUUUAAAUAAAAACUACACUAUUCUAGACAUAGGUGGAGUGUGUCAGAUAUUCCUCUACAAUUUACCCUUCUUUAAAUUGGUUAUAGAAAGUACAAGGGCUAAUUUGAUAGCAAUUAUGUUACAAAUUAAUGGGUCAUAUUGUUCUUUUUGCAUAUAAUCAUUUGUUUAUUUUUAGUGGAUUCAUAUUAUAUGCAGGGUACAAAGUUGCUACAUGCACAAAGGAACUCCCUAACUUCCAUAAAGCCACAAGGGGAACAUUUUAUUUUUCAUUUUUUGUUUUUUUUUUUUCAGUUACUACUGUACUUUAUUGUGUUCCACCAAAUCACUAUGUUACAAAAAUAGCAAGC